UUACGCUGUUAUCCCUAAGGUAACUUAGUCUAAUAAUCAAUAAUAAUGGAUCUAAUAUUCAUAAAUCAAUGUUAUCUAAAUAAAAAAGUUAAAUAUAUAUUUUUGUCACCCCAACAAAACACAAAGAAAUAUAAAAAUAUUAAUAUAUAAAUAUUUAAAUAAAAUUAUGUAAAGAUCUAUAGGGUCUUCUCGUCUUCCAAUAGAAUUUUAGCUUUUUAACUAAAAAAUUAAAUUUUAAAACAAAUAAAAUGAGACAGUCAGUUCCUCGUUAAACCUUUCAUUCCAGCCCUCUAUUAAAAGACUAAUGAUUAUGCUACCUUUGCACGGUCAGUAUACCGCGGCCGUUAAAAUCCUCACUGGGCAGGUCAGACCUUCAAUUAAAUUCAAAAGGACAUGUUUUUGUUAAACAGGCG
RNAcentral lists this ribosomal RNA (413 nucleotides) under Libellula comanche. RNAcentral describes it as "partial 16S ribosomal RNA". Lineage: Eukaryota; Metazoa; Arthropoda; Insecta; Odonata; Libellulidae. The record is from RNAcentral.